Zootermopsis nevadensis is the source of this 404-nucleotide long non-coding RNA. RefSeq lists it as uncharacterized. The record is from RefSeq and is a predicted model, not a curated record. NCBI's taxonomy places the organism in Eukaryota, Metazoa, Arthropoda, Insecta, Blattodea, Termopsidae.
ACUUAAUGUAGCGUCUAUUUUUUAUAGUGAACAGUAACGAAGAGAAAUUCAGUGGACAAUGUUACGUUCCUUACCAUACAACAUCUACACACUUUGACGUAUUCUACAACUGAUACUGGAACAUAACACAUUCCCAACAGAUUAUAUAAAUUUGCAAUGUUGUUGAACUUCCAAAUGGACUGCAAUCUUGAAUGAUGAUCUGGCUUCUUUUGUUUUUCAGUAAUUUGUGAACCUCUGAAUGAACUCUAUUAUGACAGAUUUUUUCUUGUCUGUGGUCUUGGUGUAAGAGGAAUUAUCGCAGGUGGCAUCGGUAGUUCCGUGCUGGUGGUGGAAGUGCUACUUGUGCCAGGACCGCUACCCGUUGUCGAUGACGACCUACUGCCGAUGUUGUCCGCCGUGCUGUA